This 476-nucleotide ribosomal RNA is filed under the name Saccharomycetales sp. IS. Its description in RNAcentral is "LSU rRNA". It matches the Rfam family "Eukaryotic large subunit ribosomal RNA", at positions 90 to 561 of the family's 3401-position model. Lineage: Eukaryota; Fungi; Ascomycota; Saccharomycetes; Saccharomycetales. The record is from RNAcentral.
CGAGUGAAGCGGCAAUAGCUCAAAUUUGAAAUCUGGCACCUUCGGUGUCCGAGUUGUAAUUUGAAGAAGGUAUCUUUGGUUUUGGCUCUUGUCUAUGUUUCUUGGAACAGGACGUCACAGAGGGUGAGAAUCCCGUGCGAUAAGAUGCCCAAUUCCAUGUAAAGUUCCUUCGACGAGUCGAGUUGUUUGGGAAUGCAGCUCUAAGUGGGUGGUAAAUUCCAUCUAAAGCUAAAUAUUGGCGAGAGACCGAUAGCGAACAAGUACUGUGAAGGAAAGAUGAAAAGAACUUUGAAAAGAGAGUGAAAAAGUACGUGAAAUUGUUGAAAGGGAAGGGCUUGAGGUCAGACUUGGUUUACCAGGCCAGCAUCAGUUUGGAUGGCAGGAUAAUAGCUAAGAAAAGUGGCACAGCUUCGGUUGUGUGUUAUAGUCUUGGUUGAUACUGCCUGUCUAGACUGAGGACUGCGUCUUUGACUAGG